AGAGCGAACGCUGGCGGCAGGCCUAACACAUGCAAGUCGAGCGGCCGUAGCAAUACGGCAGCGGCAGACGGGAGAGUAACACGUGGGAACGCGCCCUUCGGUUCGGAAUAACUCAGGGAAACUUGGGCUAAUACCGGAUACGCCCUUACGGGGAAAGAUUUAUUGCCGAAGGAACGGCCCGCGUCCGAUUAGCUAGUUGGUGAGGUAAAAGCUCACCAAGGCGACGAUCGGUAGCUGGUCUGAGAGGACGACCAGCCACACUGGGACUGAGACACGGCCCAGACUCCUACGGGAGGCAGCAGUGGGGAAUCUUGGACAAUGGGGGAAACCCUGAUCCAGCCAUGCCGCGUGAGUGAUGAAGGCCCUAGGGUUGUAAAACUCUUUCGGCGGGGACGAUAAUGACGGUACCCGCAGAAGAAGCUCCGGCUAACUUCGCGCCAGCAGCCGC
This 448-nucleotide ribosomal RNA is filed under the name uncultured bacterium. Its description in RNAcentral is "SSU rRNA". It matches the Rfam family "Bacterial small subunit ribosomal RNA", at positions 26 to 518 of the family's 1533-position model. The record is from RNAcentral.